Helianthus annuus (common sunflower) is the source of this 596-nucleotide long non-coding RNA. RefSeq lists it as uncharacterized. The record is from RefSeq and is a predicted model, not a curated record. The transcript is spliced from 3 exons. Lineage: Eukaryota; Viridiplantae; Streptophyta; Magnoliopsida; Asterales; Asteraceae.
CUUCGAAGAAAGGAAGUGCAAAAGGAGGAUCUCCGAGUUGCAAAACAUGUGGACGCACUCAUAAAGGUGAAUGCUAUUUCAAGAAUAAACCUUGCGUGGCAUGUGGCAAGAUAGGGCAUGGGGUUGCAAAUUGCCCCGACAAAGUAACGGUGUGCUAUAAAUGUUACCAACCGGGUCAUAAAAAGUCAGAAUGUCCGGAAUUGGUGGGAAACAAAGAGAGUGCCGGUUCUAGGGAUGAGACCCCAAAGGCUAAGGCAAGGUCGUUCCAAAUCACUGCUGCGGAAGCAAAAAUGGAACCCGACGUGGUUACAGGCAACACGAGUGAGGCGUCGGGAAGUCAAGCCGGUGCGGACGCUCGCCAAAAGGGAAAGCUCUAAGAUUUCAAGUAAGUCAAUCGAGCGGAUGGUGAUCAAUACAAGACUUAUGAACCGAACACUCUCAAGAAGAUGAUUUUCACUUUUGUUUUAGAAGUUCUUUUUGAAAACUUUGUAAUGAAUGAAUUACACAAUUGUCCUUUAAGUUUAGUGGUUGUUCUCAAACACUUAUGGACUAAAUGUUUUAAAUAAUUAUGAACUUUCUUAUUUAGUCGGUUUAAA